Molecule: ribosomal RNA, 427 nt
Filed under: uncultured bacterium
Lineage: Bacteria
Description: partial 16S ribosomal RNA
Rfam family: Bacterial small subunit ribosomal RNA
Source: RNAcentral
UGGGGAAUAUUGCACAAUGGGCGCAAGCCUGAUGCAGCCAUGCCGCGUGUAUGAAGAAGGCCUUCGGGUUGUAAAGUACUUUCAGCGAGGAGGAAGGCGAUGCGGUUAAUAACCGUGUCGAUUGACGUUACUCGCAGAAGAAGCACCGGCUAACUCCGUGCCAGCAGCCGCGGUAAUACGGAGGGUGCAAGCGUUAAUCGGAAUUACUGGGCGUAAAGCGCACGCAGGCGGUUUGUCAAGUCGGAUGUGAAAUCCCCGGGCUCAACCUGGGAACUGCAUUCGAAACUGGCAGGCUUGAGUCUUGUAGAGGGGGGUAGAAUUCCAGGUGUAGCGGUGAAAUGCGUAGAGAUCUGGAGGAAUACCGGUGGCGAAGGCGGCCCCCUGGACAAAGACUGACGCUCAGGUGCGAAAGCGUGGGGAGCAAACA